ACGCUGGCGGCAGGCCUAACACAUGCAAGUCGAGCGGUAGCACAGAGAGCUUGCUCUCGGGUGACGAGCGGCGGACGGGUGAGUAAUGUCUGGGAAACUGCCUGAUGGAGGGGGAUAACUACUGGAAACGGUAGCUAAUACCGCAUAAUGUCGCAAGACCAAAGUGGGGGACCUUCGGGCCUCAUGCCAUCAGAUGUGCCCAGAUGGGAUUAGCUAGUAGGUGGGGUAACGGCUCACCUAGGCGACGAUCCCUAGCUGGUCUGAGAGGAUGACCAGCCACACUGGAACUGAGACACGGUCCAGACUCCUACGGGAGGCAGCAGUGGGGAAUAUUGCACAAUGGGCGCAAGCCUGAUGCAGCCAUGCCGCGUGUGUGAAGAAGGCCUUCGGGUUGUAAAGCACUUUCAGCGGGGAGGAAGGCGGUAAGGUUAAUAACCUCAUCGAUUGACGUUACCCGCAGAAGAAGCACCGGCUAACUCCGUGCCAGCAGCCGCGGUAAUACGGAGGGUGCAAGCGUUAAUCGGAAUUACUGGGCGUAAAGCGCACGCAGGCGGUCUGUCAAGUCGGAUGUGAAAUCCCCGGGCUCAACCUGGGAACUGCAUUCGAAACUGGCAGGCUAGAGUCUUGUAGAGGGGGGUAGAAUUCCAGGUGUAGCGGUGAAAUGCGUAGAGAUCUGGAGGAAUACCGGUGGCGAAGGCGGCCCCCUGGACAAAGACUGACGCUCAGGUGCGAAAGCGUGGGGAGCAAACAGGAUUAGAUACCCUGGUAGUCCACGCCGUAAACGAUGUCGAUUUGGAGGUUGUGCCCUUGAGGCGUGGCUUCCGGAGCUAACGCGUUAAAUCGACCGCCUGGGGAGUACGGCCGCAAGGUUAAAACUCAAAUGAAUUGACGGGGGCCCGCACAAGCGGUGGAGCAUGUGGUUUAAUUCGAUGCAACGCGAAGAACCUUACCUGGUCUUGACAUCCACAGAACUUUCCAGAGAUGGAUUGGUGCCUUCGGGAACUGUGAGACAGGUGCUGCAUGGCUGUCGUCAGCUCGUGUUGUGAAAUGUUGGGUUAAGUCCCGCAACGAGCGCAACCCUUAUCCUUUGUUGCCAGCGGUCCGGCCGGGAACUCAAAGGAGACUGCCAGUGAUAAACUGGAGGAAGGUGGGGAUGACGUCAAGUCAUCAUGGCCCUUACGACCAGGGCUACACACGUGCUACAAUGGCAUAUACAAAGAGAAGCGACCUCGCGAGAGCAAGCGGACCUCAUAAAGUAUGUCGUAGUCCGGAUUGGAGUCUGCAACUCGACUCCAUGAAGUCGGAAUCGCUAGUAAUCGUAGAUCAGAAUGCUACGGUGAAUACGUUCCCGGGCCUUGUACACACCGCCCGUCACACCAUGGGAGUGGGUUGCAAAAGAAGUAGGUAGCUUAACCUUCGGGAGGGCGCUUACCACUUUGUGAUUCAUGACUGGGGUGAAGUCGUAACAAGGUAACCGUAGGGGAACCUGCG
This 1491-nucleotide ribosomal RNA is filed under the name Klebsiella sp. ok1_1_9_S23. RNAcentral describes it as "bacterial SSU rRNA". It matches the Rfam family "Bacterial small subunit ribosomal RNA". The record is from RNAcentral. Lineage: Bacteria; Pseudomonadati; Pseudomonadota; Gammaproteobacteria; Enterobacterales; Enterobacteriaceae.